GCGAGUGAAAGGGGAAGAGCCCAGCGCUGAAUCUCUCGGUCUUAGGCCGCUGAGAACUGUAGCGUAUAGGUGUGACUGUCCUGCUAUAUUGCAUUUCCGAAGUCUCUUUGAUAGGGGCCAACAUCCAGAGAGGGUGCGAGACCUGUACGGAAAGUAGUAUAGUUGGUAUGGUUACUCCUUGGAGUCGGGUUGCUUGAAAGUGCAGCCUAAAGUUGGUGAUAAACUUCAUCUAAGGCUAAAUAUCGACGCGAAAUCGAUAGCAAACAAGUACCGUGAGGGAAAGUUGCAAAGAACUUUGAAGAGAGAGUUCAAGAGAACGUGAAAUCGCUGAAGUGGAACCGGAGAGAGUUAACAUAACUUGGUAGCUAUAUCCUCUAAAGUCGCUUAACUGUGGCUCUGGGGGGUGGACGCUACCUGUUGUUGCACUGACUGCGUUGAUUGUGCUUUCCGAACAGUAUAGUGUUGCCCACUUUGUGGUGUCUUGCUUUCUGGGAGGUUUGUCAUAAUUAACGUAAAGCCAAUUCCCUUUGGAGUCAGUGUGAAAGUUAACCACCUUUCCGACCCGUCUUGAAACACGGACCGAGGAGUGUAAUUUAUACGCGAGUCAAGGGGUGGUGAAAACCCUAGGGGCGGAAUGAAAGUAAAGGCCGGUUAACCGGUUGACAUGGGAUCCGCUCUUCGGAGCGGCGCACCAUGGCCCUGUCUUGUCUGCUUGCAGAUGGGCAGCGGUAGAGCGUAUAGUUUGCGACCCGAAAGAUGGUGAACUAUGCUUGAGCAGGACGAAGCCAGAGGAAACUCUGGUGGAAGUCCGUAUCGGUUCUGACGUGCAAAUCGAUCGAUAGACUUGGGUAUAGGGGCGAAAGACUAAUCGAACCGUCUAGUAGCUGGUUCCCUCCGAAGUUUCCUCAGG
RNAcentral lists this ribosomal RNA (910 nucleotides) under Heterorhabditis bacteriophora. RNAcentral's name for it is "eukaryotic LSU rRNA". It matches the Rfam family "Eukaryotic large subunit ribosomal RNA", at positions 89 to 977 of the family's 3401-position model. Lineage: Eukaryota; Metazoa; Nematoda; Chromadorea; Rhabditida; Heterorhabditidae. The record is from RNAcentral.